Molecule: small nucleolar RNA, 128 nt
Organism: Ictidomys tridecemlineatus (thirteen-lined ground squirrel)
Lineage: Eukaryota; Metazoa; Chordata; Mammalia; Rodentia; Sciuridae
Source: Ensembl
CCCUCCUACAAAUGUGUAUUUGGUUCCCUGUCUUUGGACACAUAAGAAUUGAAGGAAAAGAAAAGUGGAUUUGGAGAUAUCUGGACCUGCUUGUUCCUCUUGGGGUCAGAAUCAAUCAUCCCAUAUGA